GUGGGUAUAGCUCAGGUGGUUAGAGCACCAGGUUGUGGCCCUGGGGGUCGUCGGUUCAAGUCCGAUUAUCCACCCCA
RNAcentral lists this transfer RNA (77 nucleotides) under Clostridiales bacterium. Its description in RNAcentral is "tRNA-His". It matches the Rfam family "tRNA". From Rfam's summary of the family: Transfer RNA (tRNA) molecules are approximately 80 nucleotides in length. Their secondary structure includes four short double-helical elements and three loops (D, anti-codon, and T loops). Further hydrogen bonds mediate the characteristic L-shaped molecular structure. tRNAs have two regions of fundamental functional importance: the anti-codon, which is responsible for specific mRNA codon recognition, and the 3' end, to which the tRNAs corresponding amino acid is attached (by aminoacyl-tRNA synthetases). tRNAs cope with the degeneracy of the genetic code in two manners: having more than one tRNA (with a specific anti-codon) for a particular amino acid; and 'wobble' base-pairing, i.e. permitting non-standard base-pairing at the 3rd anti-codon position. Lineage: Bacteria; Bacillati; Bacillota; Clostridia; Eubacteriales. RNAcentral also lists the same sequence under 1 other name. The record is from RNAcentral.